RNAcentral lists this transfer RNA (60 nucleotides) under human gut metagenome. It matches the Rfam family "tRNA", at positions 2 to 61 of the family's 71-position model. From Rfam's summary of the family: Transfer RNA (tRNA) molecules are approximately 80 nucleotides in length. Their secondary structure includes four short double-helical elements and three loops (D, anti-codon, and T loops). The record is from RNAcentral.
CGGGUGUAGUUCAAUGGUAGAACACCAGCCUUCCAAGCUGGAUACGUGGGUUCGAUUCCC